GGUUCUUGCAGCAGACAUUUAUCAUUGCUGGUUUCGAUUCAUGCAUUGUAGCUUUGGUGAGUGUUAUUGUGUCAACGAUAGUGAAUAAUUUCCAGCACCACAUUAUGUCCAGAUUAGAGUCUGCAUCGAUUGCUGAUCAAAAUCUCAGACCAAGGUUUGCUGCAGGUAACUGAAACCAUGGAGAGCAAAACUGUCCAUAGGGGGAAUCCAUUGCAUUUUCAGAAACAUUCCUAGGUGGUUGAGGAGGGUGACUUACGACUUCCUCUCAAAGAUAUCUAAACCAAGACGUCUUCAACUUUAGCCUGCAUAUGCAUCACCUGGAAAUCGAGGUGUAGGGUGGGCCCUGAGUUUGCCUUUCUAAGGAGAGAUGCUAACAAGAUCUGGACCAUCAGCCACUCAAGACCUUUAACAUGUUUCAUACCUGUCGACACCCUGAUACACCUUGGCCUCUGAAAUACUUUACAAGCUUUGCUAAAGAACACGUUCAUAAUGUACCAGUUCUUUAGCACUGAUUCCCUUAGGGAAAUCUGUUCUUCAAGGCAAGUUUCCCAUUGCAGUUCUCUAUCAACCUGGCGGGGUAAGUUACUGCCAAUCAUUGACCAAGCAGCACAGAUCGGGAGAACUCCGUACCUUGGCUCUAUAAGCAACAUCACUGUUCAGAAUGGUCAUCCGAAGCAUGCACAUUGGAGAUACUAUGAACUCUGAUCACGUAAAUGAAGGAUUCACUGUACUUUUUAUUCCCUGUCCUUCAAGAGCCAGGUGAAUGCCACGUCCUCUUCAGAGCCUUCCUGGAUGUCACAGCCGACCAUUGCUGGGGCUCAGAAAAAGCUACCUGAACAUAUGGCGCUCUGGCCUGCAGAGUACUUUGAACUGGAGGAGAUUGGAAGGCUUCAGCAACGGCCUCAGCACUAAGAUCUCUCUGACCUUCUCUUGCCCUUGUGUCUCGCUCCUCUUUCUCCCCUAAGCACAGGGAGGGGCUGUCCCUGAACUUUCCUUGUCUCCUUAAAGAUAGAUCUAAAAAGGAACUCAGUUUCUC
RNAcentral lists this long non-coding RNA (1036 nucleotides) under Pan troglodytes (chimpanzee). RNAcentral describes it as "long non-coding RNA NONPTRT012814". The record is from RNAcentral. Lineage: Eukaryota; Metazoa; Chordata; Mammalia; Primates; Hominidae.